UGUUAAACUGUAAAGAUUGCUCUUGUAAACUUUCAAUUCAGAAUUUCAGAUAAAAGAAAAUUUAAAUCUCACACAAAUUUGUGCCUAAGUAAUGUAAAGUGUGUAAAAUAUUCUUAUCGUACACAAAAUCGAUUCCAACUAGGUCUAUAUAAGCUCCAACUUGAUCAAAAUCAGAGUGGGGACGUGGUGCAAAAUGUAACAGGGGACUGGGAGAUAGCAUGCUACACCAGAUAUAAAAAUAAAGCAAAUCAAGGAAAUGGAUUAAUCUAAAAUUGUGCUACCUCAAAAUCUCAACAUUAAUAUCUUGGCCUACAAUGAGAAGAGAAUUACAAUUAGACAACCUCAAAAUGAUGACUUGCUUAUGAACUCAAACACAAAUGUCCAAAAUUUUCACAUCCUUUCCAUUAAAAAAGAUUUCUGAACUGAUUUUUAGUAUCAUUAACCUUGUCCUGUCUUAGUGCAGUCUAAAACGCAACAUCUGAAAAUAAGGAUACAGAAUAAUAACAUUUGUAUGCGUUACUGAAUCUGUUUCAGCCCACAACAGAAGUUCUAUCUAUUUAUCUCUAAAUAAUAUAUAUUUCUUUUCUCGUCAUGAAUCGAUGUCUCACAGCCUUAGGAAGGUAGUUUUGUAACAAAAAAUUGCUAGUCACCUCAAGAUGAAAUGCAUAUUUAAGAUACCGAAACAGUGACUAUCAACUGCAGAUCAAUGGCAGUAUUUACCAGAACUUGUUUCUGACCCAAAAGAGGAGGAAAACAACUCCUA
This is a long non-coding RNA of Olea europaea var. sylvestris, 763 nucleotides long. RefSeq lists it as uncharacterized. The record is from RefSeq and is a predicted model, not a curated record. The transcript has 2 exons. NCBI's taxonomy places the organism in Eukaryota, Viridiplantae, Streptophyta, Magnoliopsida, Lamiales, Oleaceae.